Molecule: ribosomal RNA, 582 nt
Filed under: uncultured bacterium
Lineage: Bacteria
Description: bacterial SSU rRNA
Rfam family: Bacterial small subunit ribosomal RNA
Source: RNAcentral
GUGGAGCAAUCCAUGAGUAGAGUGGCAAACGGGUGAGUAACGCGUGGGUGACCUGCCUUCGAGUGGGGGAUAACGCUCCGAAAGGGACGCUAAUACCGCAUAACAUCCUGCCUUUUAAGAGGUGGAGAUCAAAGCCUGGGACCGCAAGGCCAGGCGCUCAAAGAGGGGCCCGCGUCUGAUUAGCUAGUUGGUGGGGUAAUGGCUCACCAAGGCUUCGAUCAGUAUCCGGCCUGAGAGGGCGGACGGACACACUGGGACUGAGACACGGCCCAGACUCCUACGGGAGGCAGCAGUGGGGAAUUGUUCGCAAUGGGCGCAAGCCUGACGACGCAACGCCGCGUGGAGGAUGAAGACCUUCGGGUCGUAAACUCCUUUCGAUCGAGACGAACGGCUUCCGGGUGAACAAUCCGGGAGAGUGACGGUACCGAGAGAAGAAGCCCCGGCUAACUCCGUGCCAGCAGCCGCGGUAAUACGGGGGGGGCAAGCGUUGUUCGGAAUUACUGGGCGUAAAGGGCUCGUAGGUGGCCAACUAAGUCAGACGUGAAAUCCCUCGGCUUAACCGGGGAACUGCGUCUGAUACUG